GAUGAACGCUAGCUACAGGCUUAACACAUGCAAGUCGCGGGGCAGCAUGGGGGUUGCUUGCAAUCCCCGAUGGCGACCGGCGCACGGGUGAGUAACGCGUAUCCAACCUGCCCUUCACCACGGGAUAACCCGGCGAAAGUCGGACUAAUACCGUAUGUUGUCCAUUGACGGCAUCCGAUUUGGACGAAAGGUUUGGCGGUGAAGGAUGGGGAUGCGUCCGAUUAGCUGGACGGCGGGGUGACGGCCCACCGUGGCGACGAUCGGUAGGGGUUCUGAGAGGAAGGUCCCCACACUGGAACUGAGACACGGUCCAGACUCCUACGGGAGGCAGCAGUGAGGAAUAUUGAUCAAUGGGCGUAAGCCUGAACCAGCCAAGUAGCGUGCAGGAGGACGGCCCUAUGGGUUGUAAACUGCUUUUAUGCGGGGAUAAAGUGGCCCACGUGUGGGUUUUUGCAGGUACCGCAUGAAUAAGGACCGGCUAAUUCCGUG
Molecule: ribosomal RNA, 489 nt
Filed under: uncultured bacterium
Lineage: Bacteria
Description: partial 16S ribosomal RNA
Rfam family: Bacterial small subunit ribosomal RNA
Source: RNAcentral